AACGAACGCUGGCGGCAUGCCUAACACAUGCAAGUCGAACGAGACCUUCGGGUCUAGUGGCGCACGGGUGCGUAACGCGUGGGAACCUGCCCUUAGGUUCGGAAUAACUCCCCGAAAGGGGUGCUAAUACCGGAUAAUGUCUUCGGACCAAAGAUUUAUCGCCUUUGGAUGGGCCCGCGUUGGAUUAGCUAGUUGGUAGGGUAAAAGCCUACCAAGGCGACGAUCCAUAGCUGGUCUGAGAGGAUGAUCAGCCACACUGGGACUGAGACACGGCCCAGACCCCCCCGGGGGGGAGGAGGGGGGAAUAUGGGACAAGGGGCGAAAGCCUGAUCCAGCAAGGCCGGGGGAGUGAUGAAGGCUUUAGGUUUGUAAAGCUCUUUUCCCCGGGAUGAUAAUGAAAGUACCGGGAGAAUAAGCCCCGGCUAACCCCGU
Molecule: ribosomal RNA, 432 nt
Filed under: uncultured bacterium
Lineage: Bacteria
Description: partial 16S ribosomal RNA
Rfam family: Bacterial small subunit ribosomal RNA
Source: RNAcentral